AAAAGAAACCAACAGGGAUUGCCUUAGUAGCGGCGAGUGAAGCGGCAAAAGCUCAAAUUUGAAAUCUGGCACUUUCAGUGUCCGAGUUGUAAUUUGAAGAAGGUAUCUUUGGGUCUGGCUCUUGUCUAUGUUUCUUGGAACAGAACGUCACAGAGGGUGAGAAUCCCGUGCGAUGAGAUGACCCAGACCUAUGUAAAGUUCCUUCGAAGAGUCGAGUUGUUUGGGAAUGCAGCUCUAAGUGGGUGGUAAAUUCCAUCUAAAGCUAAAUAUUGGCGAGAGACCGAUAGCGAACAAGUACAGUGAUGGAAAGAUGAAAAGAACUUUGAAAAGAGAGUGAAAAAGUACGUGAAAUUGUUGAAAGGGAAGGGCUUGAGAUCAGACUUGGUAUUUUGUAUGUUACUCUUUCGGGGGUGGCCUCUACAGUUUACCGGGCCAGCAUCAGUUUGGGCGGUAGGAGAAUUGCAAAGAAAUGUGGCACUGCCUCGGUAGUGUGUUAUAGUCUUUGUCGAUACUGCCAGCCUAGACUGAGGACUGCGGCUUCGGCCUAGGAUGUUGGCAUAAUGAUCUUAAGUCGCCCGU
This 579-nucleotide ribosomal RNA is filed under the name Lodderomyces metapsilosis. Its description in RNAcentral is "Candida metapsilosis partial large subunit ribosomal RNA". It matches the Rfam family "Eukaryotic large subunit ribosomal RNA", at positions 57 to 652 of the family's 3401-position model. Lineage: Eukaryota; Fungi; Ascomycota; Pichiomycetes; Serinales; Debaryomycetaceae. The record is from RNAcentral.